Molecule: transfer RNA, 68 nt
Filed under: Rhynchocyon chrysopygus (golden-rumped elephant shrew)
Lineage: Eukaryota; Metazoa; Chordata; Mammalia; Macroscelidea; Macroscelididae
Also listed under: 3 other names
Description: tRNA-Trp
Source: RNAcentral
AGAGAUUUAGGUUAAAUCAGACCAGAGGCCUUCAAAGCCACUAGCAAGUAACUUAUACUUAAUCUCUG